This is a small nuclear RNA of Myotis lucifugus (little brown bat), 104 nucleotides long. Lineage: Eukaryota; Metazoa; Chordata; Mammalia; Chiroptera; Vespertilionidae. The record is from Ensembl.
GUGCUCCCUUCAGCAGCACAUAAACCAAAAUCGGAACAACACAGAGGUUAGCAUGGUCCCUGCGCAAGCAUGACACACAAAUCCAUGAAGUGUUUCAUGAUUUU